UUGCGGAAAUGGAUGGUCGCUGGGUUUUAGGCCUGGAGGAAAGUCCGGACUCCAUGGAGGAGAGUGCCAGAUAACGUCUGGCGAUAUUACUGUCGCACCAGCGUAAGUUGUUAUGUUCUUCGGAUAGUACGUUGCGCAUUGGUGAUCCGGUAAUGUUAGGGAAAGUGCAACAGAAAAUAUACCGCCCUCGGGUAAGGGUGAAAUGGCGAGGUAAAAGCUCACCGCGCAGUUGGUAACAACAACGGCAAGGCAAACCCCACUUGGAGCAAGAUCAAAUAGGAAUAACGUUAAUGUCCUCCACAUAUAGGUUAUUCGGGUAGGUCGCUUGAUGUUUGCGGUGACGCAAAUACCAGAUGAAUGACCAUCGGGAUGCAUUUUUGCGUUUUACAGAAUCCGGCUUAUAGUUUCCGCAGAAAC
This 417-nucleotide RNase P RNA is filed under the name Holosporaceae bacterium. RNAcentral describes it as "RNase P RNA component class A". It matches the Rfam family "Bacterial RNase P class A". Rfam says of the family: Ribonuclease P (RNase P) is a ubiquitous endoribonuclease, found in archaea, bacteria and eukarya as well as chloroplasts and mitochondria. Its best characterised activity is the generation of mature 5'-ends of tRNAs by cleaving the 5'-leader elements of precursor-tRNAs. Cellular RNase Ps are ribonucleoproteins. Lineage: Bacteria; Pseudomonadati; Pseudomonadota; Alphaproteobacteria; Holosporales; Holosporaceae. The record is from RNAcentral.